GGAGGGGUGGCCGAGCGGCUGAAGGCGGCGGUUUGCUAAACCGUUGUACGGGGUCAACCCGUACCGUGGGUUCGAAUCCCAUCCCCUCCGCCA
Molecule: transfer RNA, 93 nt
Filed under: Rhodospirillales bacterium
Lineage: Bacteria; Pseudomonadati; Pseudomonadota; Alphaproteobacteria; Rhodospirillales
Description: tRNA-Ser
Rfam family: tRNA
About the family: Transfer RNA (tRNA) molecules are approximately 80 nucleotides in length. Their secondary structure includes four short double-helical elements and three loops (D, anti-codon, and T loops). Further hydrogen bonds mediate the characteristic L-shaped molecular structure. tRNAs have two regions of fundamental functional importance: the anti-codon, which is responsible for specific mRNA codon recognition, and the 3' end, to which the tRNAs corresponding amino acid is attached (by aminoacyl-tRNA synthetases). tRNAs cope with the degeneracy of the genetic code in two manners: having more than one tRNA (with a specific anti-codon) for a particular amino acid; and 'wobble' base-pairing, i.e. permitting non-standard base-pairing at the 3rd anti-codon position.
Source: RNAcentral